AUGGAAUCCAAAGUGUCUGAAGGGGGCCUGAAUGUGACCCUGACCAUCCGGCUGCUCAUGCAUGGAAAGGAAGUCGGGAGCAUCAUCGGGAAGGUAAUUGUCCCACGAGUGUCCUCGUGUCUCCCAUCCGGUAAUGCACACGCGUGGGGGCUCCGGGGGUCUGAAUGGCGGCGAAAAGCCAUCCGUGGCUCCGUGGCCGGAGGCCCCCCGCCCCCUUCGUCGCCGGGCUCUCUGCCUUGCACCAACAAGGAGGGAGGCAGCCCCAGGGCCGGGCCGCGAGCCCGGGGGCUCCUUUUCUCUUGGAGCACAGCGCGGAGGGGGGCUGAGCCCGCUCAGGGCCAUCUCGGAAACGCGGAUUUCCUGGGACGUGGGCGAGGGCGGAGAGGGCUCGGGGGCGAGGAGGCAGCCAGGUGGCUCGGUGGACCGAGGCCAGCCUUGGAGCCAGGAGGCUCUGAGUUCAGAUUCCGUCUCAGACACGUACGCGCUGGCCCUGCCUUCGUCCCCUGGAGAAGGAGCGGGCGACCCUCGCAGUCUCUCGAGGCGAGCCCCGGGACAAGAGAACGGCGGGAUGAAAAGCGGAACCUCAGAGCCGGCGAAAGCAGCCCCCCGUUCACAGCGGAGCGAGCCGAGGCCAGAACUGCGUGGCCCGAGGAAGGCCUCCCAGGGCGCGAGCCGGAACUCUCAGCCAUGAGGGAUCGGCGUGCGCUCAACCCCCGGCACGCUUUGGAGGCUGCGCAGGGCCCGUCCCAGGAGGUCCAACAAGCCCCUCCCACCCCAGGGAACAAGGACGAUCCGGGCCUUGGGUGGCCCCCAGGCUCCGUGGGAGAAGAUGGGGGCGGGGCGGAGCUCUCGGGCUCUCCACUGGCCCGUCCAGGGAGGACUUGGCAGGACCAGAGAAGGCUGCAGAGGGCGGAGAAGGGCCUCCGUCCGGGGGCUUCGGCUCCUUCAAGGGCUCUCCUGGGGGAAGCGAGAGGCCUCCUCUGCCUGGGGUCGGGCCAAGCCAGAGGAUGCCACAAAUGAAAGCAUCCCCAAAGCGCAACAGGCUGCUGCGGGGAGAGGCGGCCACUCCUCCCCCCUGUGCGGCCACGGCCAAGCCCGGGGGACCCAGAGCCUGCUGUCACGGAGCCCCCUCAAACUGGGAGACGCUAGAUAAAAGGAAGCUACAAGCCAGAGGGAGACGGUCCUCCGCCACACACAGACACAGACACAUUCACACACAGGCACACAGGUUCACAGACACACUCACACAGACACACUCAUACCCUGGGGAGACAGAGUAAAACUCCAGAGAGGCCUGGAGGAUGCCCCUGGCCGCCCUGGGAAGCUUCCUUGUCAGGGAGGUUCUUGGGGGGCUGUGGGUGAGGUAACCUGCCAGGGUAGGAAGACUUCCGGGACUGGUGGAGAGGCCGCUUGUCUCGUGGAGGGGGGGGGGGGUUCUAGGUCCGGUCCCCGAAGCCCCUGCGGCUGGGCCGCCCUUCAUCUCUCACCUCCUCCGGGCCGGUGAGGGAGGCUGAGCUGGACGGGCUCCUAGGUCAGAGCUCGCUUCUCCUGGGCACACGGGCUUCUCGGUGGACCACGAGAACAUCCUGGCCUCUGCGGGGCUCUGAGGGACGCAGGGAGGGGCAGCUGGUCCCCCCGCAGCAGCCCAGGCCCCCCCAUCCCCCUCCUUUAAGAGAGGACAUCAUUCUGGCUGGCCUUCCACAAGGUCCCCCGUCCCGCUGGGCGGCUUCGUGGAACAUUUUCCCUUUUCCAGAUGCUUCCUUAGGAGCCCCAGCUAGCUCCGUGGGAGGGAAGGAAGGGAGGGAGGGAGACGUCCAGGGAAGUGGCUCGCGCUCCUUACAUCUACCCGGGGGACCGAACCACCUUUCUGUGGAGAGACAACCCUUCGAAGACGAGAAAAAGGCCACCAUUGUGGCAGCUCCCCAACCAUCCCCGGGCUUGUUCACCAGGACUUCUGGGCCUCAGGGGCCAGAGCACGGGUUGGCAGAGAAUCCCCUUGGUCCCCAUUGGGGAAUGGGGA
Long non-coding RNA from Monodelphis domestica (gray short-tailed opossum), 2020 nucleotides. NCBI's taxonomy places the organism in Eukaryota, Metazoa, Chordata, Mammalia, Didelphimorphia, Didelphidae. The record is from Ensembl.